Molecule: ribosomal RNA, 433 nt
Filed under: uncultured bacterium
Lineage: Bacteria
Description: partial 16S ribosomal RNA
Rfam family: Bacterial small subunit ribosomal RNA
Source: RNAcentral
AACGAACGCUGGCGGCAUGCCUAACACAUGCAAGUCGAACGAGACCUUCGGGUCUAGUGGCGCACGGGUGCGUAACGCGUGGGAACCUGCCCUUAGGUUCGGAAUAACUCCCCGAAAGGGGUGCUAAUACCGGAUAAUGUCUUCGGACCAAAGAUUUAUCGCCUUUGGAUGGGCCCGCGUUGGAUUAGCUAGUUGGUAGGGUAAAAGCCUACCAAGGCGACGAUCCAUAGCUGGUCUGAGAGGAUGAUCAGCCACACUGGGACUGAGACACGGCCCAGACUCCUACGGGAGGGAGCAGUGGGGAAUAUUGGACAAUGGGCGAAAGACUGAUCCAGCAAUGCCGCGUGAGUGAUGAAGGCCUUAGGGUUGUAAAGCUCUUUUACCCGGGAUGAUAAUGACAGUACCGGGAGAAUAAGCUCCGGCUAACUCCGUG